RNAcentral lists this ribosomal RNA (468 nucleotides) under uncultured bacterium. Its description in RNAcentral is "partial 16S ribosomal RNA". It matches the Rfam family "Bacterial small subunit ribosomal RNA", at positions 28 to 507 of the family's 1533-position model. The record is from RNAcentral.
GACGAACGCUGGCGGCGUGCUUAACACAUGCAAGUCGAACGGAAAGGCCCUGCUUUUGUGGGGUGCUCGAGUGGCGAACGGGUGAGUAACACGUGAGUAACCUGCCCUUGACUUUUGGAUAACUUCAGGAAACUGGGGCUAAUACCGGAUAGGAGCUCCUGCUGCAUGGUGGGGGUUGGAAAGUUUCGGCGGUUGGGGAUGGACUCGCGGCUUAUCAGCUUGUUGGUGGGGUAGUGGCUUACCAAGGCUUUGACGGGUAGCCGGCCUGGGAGGGUGACCGGCCACAUUGGGACUGAGAUACGGCCCCGACUCCUACGGGAGGCAGCAGUGGGGAAUAUUGCACAAUGGGCGGAAGCCUGAUGCAGCAACGCCGCGUGCGGGAUGACGGCCUUCGGGUUGUAAACCGCUUUCGCCUGUGACGAAGCGUGAGUGACGGUAAUGGGUAAAGAAGCACCGGCUAACUACGUG